Molecule: ribosomal RNA, 457 nt
Filed under: uncultured bacterium
Lineage: Bacteria
Description: bacterial SSU rRNA
Rfam family: Bacterial small subunit ribosomal RNA
Source: RNAcentral
UACGGGAGGCAGCAGUGGGGAAUAUUGCACAAUGGGCGCAAGCCUGAUGCAGCCAUGCCGCGUGUAUGAAGAAGGCCUUCGGGUUGUAAAGUACUUUCAGUCGUGAGGAAGGUGUUAAGGUUAAUAACCUUAGCAAUUGACGUUAGCGACAGAAGAAGCACCGGCUAACUCCGUGCCAGCAGCCGCGGUAAUACGGAGGGUGCGAGCGUUAAUCGGAAUUACUGGGCGUAAAGGGCACGCAGGCGGUUAAUUAAGUUGGAUGUGAAAUCCCCGGGCUUAACCUGGGAAUGGCAUUCAAGACUGGUUAGCUAGAGUCUUGUAGAGGGGGUAGAAUUCCGAUGUGUAGCGGUGAAAUGCGUAGAGAUGUGGAGGAAUACCGGUGGCGAAGGCGGGCCCCCUGGGACAAAGGACCUGACGGCUCAUGUGCGAAAGCGUGGGGAGCAAACAGGGAUUAGAU